RNAcentral lists this transfer RNA (74 nucleotides) under Kiritimatiellia bacterium. Its description in RNAcentral is "Kiritimatiellae bacterium tRNA-Pro". It matches the Rfam family "tRNA". From Rfam's summary of the family: Transfer RNA (tRNA) molecules are approximately 80 nucleotides in length. Lineage: Bacteria; Pseudomonadati; Kiritimatiellota; Kiritimatiellia. The record is from RNAcentral.
CGGGGCGUGGCGCAGCCUGGUAGCGCGUUUGGCUGGGGGUCAAAAGGUCGCGAGUUCGAAUCUCGCCGCCCCGA